This 902-nucleotide long non-coding RNA is filed under the name Homo sapiens (human). Its description in RNAcentral is "non-protein coding lnc-PGPEP1-5:1". The stretch from base 229 to 313 matches the Rfam family "mir-3188 microRNA precursor family". The record is from RNAcentral. Lineage: Eukaryota; Metazoa; Chordata; Mammalia; Primates; Hominidae.
GUCACCCCGCCCCGGGACCGCUGUGUACGACCGAUCUCCCCGGCGCCGCCUCCGCCAAGGCACGUCCCGGGUGGCGUGAUGGGCCCGGGCCACCAGGCGCCCGCCCGCCCCGAGGCCCCGCCCCGUGUCCGCGCGUGGGGCCCCGGCCGGGCGGGGGCGGGGGCGGGGGCGGUGCCGGCCUCCGGGGACUGGAGGGGGAUGGGGUCCCGCAUGGCUAAAUAACUCCUUGGCGCCUCCUGCUCUGCUGUGCCGCCAGGGCCUCCCCUAGCGCGCCUUCUGGAGAGGCUUUGUGCGGAUACGGGGCUGGAGGCCUGGUGGGGCUGUGUCCGGGGGCUCGCCGGGGGUGUGGGGAGGUCUGCGUUCCUCACCCUCCCUCCUUCCUUCCCUCCCUCCCUCCACCCCGCGUGUGAUUGCUCAGGAAGAGACGGGAGGGGAGAGGAGGGUCGCCAGAAGUUGCUGAAAGCGCUUGGAUCCUGAUCAUUUUCACUGAGUGCGUUCUAGAACCAGGAGUCCUACUUCCUGCCUUUACAGAUGGGAAACUGGGCUCAGAGAGGUGGAGUGACCAUCCCCCGAGAGUUAGCUAGGAGUCACAGCAGGGCCCGGGCUGUGACUAGGCCUGAGCUCUUGUCCACCCUUAGAACCCUAGAACCUGGGAGUCCAGGCCCCUGCGCAGCCCCUUCCUUCCGCCGCCCACGUUUUAACCCCAGGUCUGCCAGGGCUGUGAUGUCCUGGGCGAGGGUGCCCAACUCCAGGGGCUGGGCUGAUGAGGCAGGAAUGCCGGGUAUAAUUAUUACAUGCUUGUUACCACUAUCAUGGCUGUUAGGGCUUAAUGAGCCACUAUUAAGACUGGCUGGGAAGGGGGUGUGAGGGAGGAGAGAUGGACCCACCCCACCAAUACUCAC